CAUACCUAUUCGAAGGGAUAGGGUCGGUUCGGCCGGGUUUCACACAGGUGUUGCAUGGCUGUCGUCAGCUCGUGUCGUGAGAUGUUGGGUUAAGUCCCGCAACGAGCGCAACCCUCAUCCUUAGUUACCAUCAGGUAAUGCUGGGGACUUUAAGGAAACUGCCAGUGAUAAACUGGAGGAAGGUGGGGAUGAUGUCAAGUCAUCAUGGCCCUUAUGGAGUGGGCUACACACGUGCUACAAUGGUGGCUACAAUGGGCUGCAAAGUCGCGAGGCUAAGCUAAUCCCUUAAAAGCCAUCUCAGUUCGGAUUGUACUCUGCAACUCGAGUGCAUGAAGUUGGAAUCGCUAGUAAUCGUGGAUCAGCACGCCACGGUGAAUACGUUCUCGGGUCUUGUACACACUGCCCGUCACGCCAUGGGAAUUGGUUUCACUCGAAGCU
RNAcentral lists this ribosomal RNA (438 nucleotides) under Wolbachia endosymbiont of Bactrocera dorsalis. Its description in RNAcentral is "bacterial SSU rRNA". It matches the Rfam family "Bacterial small subunit ribosomal RNA", at positions 993 to 1428 of the family's 1533-position model. RNAcentral also lists the same sequence under 5 other names. Lineage: Bacteria; Pseudomonadati; Pseudomonadota; Alphaproteobacteria; Rickettsiales; Anaplasmataceae. The record is from RNAcentral.